UCCGAAUUGGUGUAGUGGCUAACAUUUGACGCUUUCAUCUCUGUUCUGGGAUAUAUAAAAGCGCCGUCAAGCCCGGGGUUCGAUUCCCUGAUUCGGAG
Non-coding RNA from Xylaria longipes, 98 nucleotides. Lineage: Eukaryota; Fungi; Ascomycota; Sordariomycetes; Xylariales; Xylariaceae. The record is from the annotation of a GenBank genome assembly.